GCCGCGAAUUCGCCCUUAGGGUUUGAUCAUGGCUCAGAGUGAACGCUGGCGGUAGGCCUAACACAUGCAAGUCGAACGGCAGCACAGGAGAGCUUGCUCUCUGGGUGGCGAGUGGCGGACGGGUGAGGAAUACAUCGGAAUCUACUCUGUCGUGGGGGAUAACGUAGGGAAACUUACGCUAAUACCGCAUACGACCUACGGGUGAAAGCAGGGGACCUUCGGGCCUUGCGCGAUUGAAUGAGCCGAUGUCGGAUUAGCUAGUUGGCGGGGUAAAGGCCCACCAAGGCGACGAUCCGUAGCUGGUCUGAGAGGAUGAUCAGCCACACUGGAACUGAGACACGGUCCAGACCCCUACGGGAGGCAGCAGUGGGGAAUAUUGGACAAUGGGCGCAAGCCUGAUCCAGCCAUACCGCGUGGGUGAAGAAGGCCUUCGGGUUGUAAAGCCCUUUUGUUGGGAAAGAAAUCCAGCUGGCUAAUACCCGGUUGGGAUGACGGUACCCAAAGAAUAAGCACCGGC
RNAcentral lists this ribosomal RNA (517 nucleotides) under uncultured bacterium. Its description in RNAcentral is "partial 16S ribosomal RNA". It matches the Rfam family "Bacterial small subunit ribosomal RNA", at positions 1 to 497 of the family's 1533-position model. The record is from RNAcentral.